This 517-nucleotide ribosomal RNA is filed under the name uncultured bacterium. RNAcentral's name for it is "bacterial SSU rRNA". It matches the Rfam family "Bacterial small subunit ribosomal RNA", at positions 32 to 518 of the family's 1533-position model. The record is from RNAcentral.
GACGCUGGCGGCGUGCCUAAUACAUGCAAGUCGAACGGUCUUUCUAUGGAAGCUUGCUUCCACUGAGAAGAUAGUGGCGAACGGGUGAGUAACACGUGGGUAACCUGCCCAUAAGAGGGGGAUAACAUCCGGAAACGGUGCUAAUACCGCAUAGUUUUCUUGAUCGCAUGAUUGAGAAAGGAAAGACGGCCUUUGUGCUGUCGCUUAUGGAUGGACCCGCGGCGUAUUAGUUAGUUGGUGAGGUAACGGCUCACCAAGACGAUGAUACGUAGCCGACCUGAGAGGGUGAUCGGCCACAUUGGGACUGAGACACGGCCCAAACUCCUACGGGAGGCAGCAGUAGGGAAUCUUCCGCAAUGGACGAAAGUCUGACGGAGCAACGCCGCGUGAGUGAAGAAGGGUUUUUUACCGGGAUCGUAAAACUCUGUUGUCAGAGAAGAACAAGUUGGAGAGUAACUGCUCCAGCCUUGACGGUAUCUGACCAGAAAGCCACGGCUAACUACGUGCCAGCAGCAGC